ACUGGCAUAGUUCAACUGGAUAGAGCAUCCGCCUUCUAAGCGGUGGGUUGCAGGUUCAAGUCCUGCUGCCAGUGCCA
RNAcentral lists this transfer RNA (77 nucleotides) under compost metagenome. Its description in RNAcentral is "tRNA-Arg". It matches the Rfam family "tRNA". Rfam says of the family: Transfer RNA (tRNA) molecules are approximately 80 nucleotides in length. Their secondary structure includes four short double-helical elements and three loops (D, anti-codon, and T loops). The record is from RNAcentral.